RNAcentral lists this ribosomal RNA (374 nucleotides) under uncultured bacterium. Its description in RNAcentral is "bacterial SSU rRNA". It matches the Rfam family "Bacterial small subunit ribosomal RNA", at positions 524 to 898 of the family's 1533-position model. The record is from RNAcentral.
UACGUAGGUGGCAAGCGUUGUCCGGAAUAACUGGGCGUAAAGCGCAUGUAGACGGCAUGAUAAGCCAAAUGUGAAAUGUAGGGGCUCAACCCCUGCACUGCGAUUGGAACUGUCAAGCUUGAGUGCAGGAGAGGCAAAUGGAAUUCCCAGUGUAGCAGUGAAAUGCGUAGAGAUUGGGAGGAACACCAGUGGCGAAGGCGAUUUGCUGGACUGCAACUGACGUUGAGAUGCGAAAGCCAGGGGAGCAAACGGGAUUAGAUACCCUGGUAGUCCACGCCGUAAACGAUGAAUGCUAGCCGUCGGGGAGCAUGCUCUUCGGUGGCGCAGCCAACGCAAUAAGCAUUCCGCCUGGGGAGUACGAUCGCAAGAUUAAA